GUCAAGUCAUCAUGGCCCUUAUGUCCAGGGCGACACACGUGCUACAAUGGCCGGUACAGAGGGAAGCAAGACCGUAAGGUGGAGCGGAUCCCACAAAGCCGGUCUCAGUUCGGAUUGAAGUCUGCAAUUCGACUUCAUGAAGCUGGAAUCGCUAGUAAUCGCAGAUCAGCCAAGCUGCGGUGAAUACGUUCCCGGGCCUU
This 200-nucleotide ribosomal RNA is filed under the name uncultured prokaryote. RNAcentral describes it as "partial 16S ribosomal RNA". It matches the Rfam family "Bacterial small subunit ribosomal RNA", at positions 1184 to 1382 of the family's 1533-position model. The record is from RNAcentral.